RNAcentral lists this ribosomal RNA (2924 nucleotides) under Staphylococcus aureus. RNAcentral describes it as "23S ribosomal RNA". It matches the Rfam family "Bacterial large subunit ribosomal RNA". The record is from RNAcentral. Lineage: Bacteria; Bacillati; Bacillota; Bacilli; Caryophanales; Staphylococcaceae.
GAUUAAGUUAUUAAGGGCGCACGGUGGAUGCCUUGGCACUAGAAGCCGAUGAAGGACGUUACUAACGACGAUAUGCUUUGGGGAGCUGUAAGUAAGCUUUGAUCCAGAGAUUUCCGAAUGGGGAAACCCAGCAUGAGUUAUGUCAUGUUAUCGAUAUGUGAAUACAUAGCAUAUCAGAAGGCACACCCGGAGAACUGAAACAUCUUAGUACCCGGAGGAAGAAAAAGAAAAUUCGAUUCCCUUAGUAGCGGCGAGCGAAACGGGAAGAGCCCAAACCAACAAGCUUGCUUGUUGGGGUUGUAGGACACUCUAUACGGAGUUACAAAGGACGACAUUAGACGAAUCAUCUGGAAAGAUGAAUCAAAGAAGGUAAUAAUCCUGUAGUCGAAAAUGUUGUCUCUCUUGAGUGGAUCCUGAGUACGACGGAACACGUGAAAUUCCGUCGGAAUCUGGGAGGACCAUCUCCUAAGGCUAAAUACUCUCUAGUGACCGAUAGUGAACCAGUACCGUGAGGGAAAGGUGAAAAGCACCCCGGAAGGGGAGUGAAAUAGAACCUGAAACCGUGUGCUUACAAGUAGUCAGAGCCCGUUAAUGGGUGAUGGCGUGCCUUUUGUAGAAUGAACCGGCGAGUUACGAUUUGAUGCAAGGUUAAGCAGUAAAUGUGGAGCCGUAGCGAAAGCGAGUCUGAAUAGGGCGUUUAGUAUUUGGUCGUAGACCCGAAACCAGGUGAUCUACCCUUGGUCAGGUUGAAGUUCAGGUAACACUGAAUGGAGGACCGAACCGACUUACGUUGAAAAGUGAGCGGAUGAACUGAGGGUAGCGGAGAAAUUCCAAUCGAACCUGGAGAUAGCUGGUUCUCUCCGAAAUAGCUUUAGGGCUAGCCUCAAGUGAUGAUUAUUGGAGGUAGAGCACUGUUUGGACGAGGGGCCCCUCUCGGGUUACCGAAUUCAGACAAACUCCGAAUGCCAAUUAAUUUAACUUGGGAGUCAGAACAUGGGUGAUAAGGUCCGUGUUCGAAAGGGAAACAGCCCAGACCACCAGCUAAGGUCCCAAAAUAUAUGUUAAGUGGAAAAGGAUGUGGCGUUGCCCAGACAACUAGGAUGUUGGCUUAGAAGCAGCCAUCAUUUAAAGAGUGCGUAAUAGCUCACUAGUCGAGUGACACUGCGCCGAAAAUGUACCGGGGCUAAACAUAUUACCGAAGCUGUGGAUUGUCCUUUGGACAAUGGUAGGAGAGCGUUCUAAGGGCGUUGAAGCAUGAUCGUAAGGACAUGUGGAGCGCUUAGAAGUGAGAAUGCCGGUGUGAGUAGCGAAAGACGGGUGAGAAUCCCGUCCACCGAUUGACUAAGGUUUCCAGAGGAAGGCUCGUCCGCUCUGGGUUAGUCGGGUCCUAAGCUGAGGCCGACAGGCGUAGGCGAUGGAUAACAGGUUGAUAUUCCUGUACCACCUAUAAUCGUUUUAAUCGAUGGGGGGACGCAGUAGGAUAGGCGAAGCGUGCGAUUGGAUUGCACGUCUAAGCAGUAAGGCUGAGUAUUAGGCAAAUCCGGUACUCGUUAAGGCUGAGCUGUGAUGGGGAGAAGACAUUGAGUCUUCGAGUCGUUGAUUUCACACUGCCGAGAAAAGCCUCUAGAUAGAAAAUAGGUGCCCGUACCGCAAACCGACACAGGUAGUCAAGAUGAGAAUUCUAAGGUGAGCGAGCGAACUCUCGUUAAGGAACUCGGCAAAAUGACCCCGUAACUUCGGGAGAAGGGGUGCUCUUUAGGGUUAACGCCCAGAAGAGCCGCAGUGAAUAGGCCCAAGCGACUGUUUAUCAAAAACACAGGUCUCUGCUAAACCGUAAGGUGAUGUAUAGGGGCUGACGCCUGCCCGGUGCUGGAAGGUUAAGAGGAGUGGUUAGCUUCUGCGAAGCUACGAAUCGAAGCCCCAGUAAACGGCGGCCGUAACUAUAACGGUCCUAAGGUAGCGAAAUUCCUUGUCGGGUAAGUUCCGACCCGCACGAAAGGCGUAACGAUUUGGGCACUGUCUCAACGAGAGACUCGGUGAAAUCAUAGUACCUGUGAAGAUGCAGGUUACCCGCGACAGGACGGAAAGACCCCGUGGAGCUUUACUGUAGCCUGAUAUUGAAAUUCGGCACAGCUUGUACAGGAUAGGUAGGAGCCUUUGAAACGUGAGCGCUAGCUUACGUGGAGGCGCUGGUGGGAUACUACCCUAGCUGUGUUGGCUUUCUAACCCGCACCACUUAUCGUGGUGGGAGACAGUGUCAGGCGGGCAGUUUGACUGGGGCGGUCGCCUCCUAAAAGGUAACGGAGGCGCUCAAAGGUUCCCUCAGAAUGGUUGGAAAUCAUUCAUAGAGUGUAAAGGCAUAAGGGAGCUUGACUGCGAGACCUACAAGUCGAGCAGGGUCGAAAGACGGACUUAGUGAUCCGGUGGUUCCGCAUGGAAGGGCCAUCGCUCAACGGAUAAAAGCUACCCCGGGGAUAACAGGCUUAUCUCCCCCAAGAGUUCACAUCGACGGGGAGGUUUGGCACCUCGAUGUCGGCUCAUCGCAUCCUGGGGCUGUAGUCGGUCCCAAGGGUUGGGCUGUUCGCCCAUUAAAGCGGUACGCGAGCUGGGUUCAGAACGUCGUGAGACAGUUCGGUCCCUAUCCGUCGUGGGCGUAGGAAAUUUGAGAGGAGCUGUCCUUAGUACGAGAGGACCGGGAUGGACAUACCUCUGGUGUACCAGUUGUCGUGCCAACGGCAUAGCUGGGUAGCUAUGUGUGGACGGGAUAAGUGCUGAAAGCAUCUAAGCAUGAAGCCCCCCCUCAAGAUGAGAUUUCCCAACUUCGGUUAUAAGAUCCCUCAAAGAUGAUGAGGUUAAUAGGUUCGAGGUGGAAGCAUGGUGACAUGUGGAGCUGACGAAUACUAAUCGAUCGAAGACUUAAUCAA